Ictidomys tridecemlineatus (thirteen-lined ground squirrel) is the source of this 78-nucleotide non-coding RNA. NCBI's taxonomy places the organism in Eukaryota, Metazoa, Chordata, Mammalia, Rodentia, Sciuridae. The record is from Rfam.
AGGGAUAUAGCUCAGUUGGUAGAGUGCUUGCCUUACCUUGCAUGCACAAGGCCCUGGGUUCAAUCCCCAGUACCCCCC